UUGAACGCUGGCGGCAGGCCUAACACAUGCAAGUCGCGCGGAUGAAGGGAGCUUGCUCCUGGAUUCAGCGGCGGACGGGUGAGUAAUGCCUAGGAAUCUGCCUGGUAGUGGGGGAUAACGUCCGGAAACGGGCGCUAAUACCGCAUACGUCCUGAGGGAGAAAGUGGGGGAUCUUCGGACCUCACGCUAUCAGAUGAGCCUAGGUCGGAUUAGCUAGUUGGUGGGGUAAAGGCCUACCAAGGCGACGAUCCGUAACUGGUCUGAGAGGAUGAUCAGUCACACUGGAACUGAGACACGGUCCAGACUCCUACGGGAGGCAGCAGUGGGGAAUAUUGGACAAUGGGCGAAAGCCUGAUCCAGCCAUGCCGCGUGUGUGAAGAAGGUCUUCGGAUUUUAAAGCACUUUAAGUUGGGAGGAAGGGCAGUAAGUUAAUACCUUGCUGUUUUGACGUUACCAACAGAAUAAGCACCGGCUAACUUCGUG
Molecule: ribosomal RNA, 483 nt
Filed under: uncultured bacterium
Lineage: Bacteria
Description: partial 16S ribosomal RNA
Rfam family: Bacterial small subunit ribosomal RNA
Source: RNAcentral